CCCAGCUGGGGAAAGCCGGGCUGGCUAGAGGCAACAGGGUGAAGGCUGCAGUUCUUCCGUUCCCUCGGUUUUAUUCGGGAAGCCUAAAGUUCUCUGGUCUGUGCGGGGUUGAGCUAGCCGUGGUAGUGUCAGGGUGCGGAGGGCAUGAGGUGUGAGGGUUUUCUUUAAAAGUUUGAGGCAGGGUCUCAUUCUAAAUCGCUUCCUAAUGCUGACAGUACAAGUGCCACAAUGCCUCGCGAGUGUAUGUGAGAGAGCGAGCCAGCGAGCAUGGAGGUUGGAGAACAACCUGUGGGAUUUCUCUUCUUCCACUGUUCGGCGCUCGAACGUCGAACGCAAGUGGUCAGGUCUGGGCACGGUGUCACAGCGCCCAGGCAGUGGAAAAGGAGGAUCCGGAGUUCAAGCCUUCUUUAUUACACCAAGAUAUAUUAUUGAAACCAGAGAGAUUCCAAAUCGUGCUGGUAGCUUGGUUCCGUGGUAGUGUUUCCCUGGCAAGUACAAAGCUGCGUGCAUUCCCGGCACCGAUACAUGAGUAAAUAAAAGCUCCGAAACAAAGUCAGAGUCUUGCUUUAUUGCUAGUACCAGUUGAUAUCUUGGCAAGUCCCUUCGCAUCUCCGGUUAGUGUAUCUUUUGAGGAUUAGAGGAACUAAACUGAAAACCUGCAAAGCUCCUAGCCAAGACCUGAUAUGUAAAGAUCGGGGAAAUUAUCACGUGGAAUUAACAUGGUUAAAGUGUACAUGACCCUUUGCCUACAGUCCCAGACAGACCGCCAGCAUCUAGAUCAGAACAAAGCAGACGAUGUUGGGCUUGUGUGAUGAGUUGACCAAACUGACCAAUUGGAGCCCUUUCUUUGCCAAGCUCCAUUCAGCAGCUGCCCAUUUUUCCAGCAGUUUCUCAAUUGUUCAUGACGUGAUGCUGAUAGAAGAGGUACUCAAGAUCCUGGGGAUUCUGCAGCUUUCGCCUCCUAAAAUAUGUCUCUUCAGUCAGAAGUACGGGUAGCCACAGAAUCCUCUUUAAUUUCCGGAACGCCUGCAGGAGUCGUUACAUCCUCAAGUAAGGAUGUCAUCAAGCGUCCUGUCAGCCCCUGGGUUACACAU
Mus caroli (Ryukyu mouse) is the source of this 1094-nucleotide non-coding RNA. The record is from RefSeq and is a predicted model, not a curated record. Lineage: Eukaryota; Metazoa; Chordata; Mammalia; Rodentia; Muridae.